This 428-nucleotide ribosomal RNA is filed under the name uncultured Bacillota bacterium. Its description in RNAcentral is "bacterial SSU rRNA". It matches the Rfam family "Bacterial small subunit ribosomal RNA", at positions 958 to 1385 of the family's 1533-position model. The record is from RNAcentral. Lineage: Bacteria; Bacillati; Bacillota.
AACGCGAAGAACCUUACCAGGUCUUGACAUCCUCUGACAACCCUAGAGAUAGGGCGUUCCCCUUCGGGGGACAGAGUGACAGGUGGUGCAUGGUUGUCGUCAGCUCGUGUCGUGAGAUGUUGGGUUAAGUCCCGCAACGAGCGCAACCCUUGAUCUUAGUUGCCAGCAUUUAGUUGGGCACUCUAAGGUGACUGCCGGUGACAAACCGGAGGAAGGUGGGGAUGACGUCAAAUCAUCAUGCCCCUUAUGACCUGGGCUACACACGUGCUACAAUGGAUGGUACAAAGAGCUGCGAACCCGCGAGGGUAAGCGAAUCUCAUAAAGCCAUUCUCAGUUCGGAUUGUAGGCUGCAACUCGCCUACAUGAAGCCGGAAUCGCUAGUAAUCGCGGAUCAGCAUGCCGCGGUGAAUACGUUCCCGGGCCUUGUA